This 253-nucleotide ribosomal RNA is filed under the name uncultured bacterium. RNAcentral's name for it is "partial 16S ribosomal RNA". It matches the Rfam family "Bacterial small subunit ribosomal RNA", at positions 524 to 776 of the family's 1533-position model. The record is from RNAcentral.
GACGAACCGAGCGAACGUUGUUCGGAAUCACUGGGCUUAAAGGGCGCGUAGGCGGGCUGCCAAGUCCGUGGUGAAAUCCCCCGGCUCAACCGGGGAAGGGCCUCGGAUACUGGCGGCCUCGAGGGGGGUAGGGGCGUGCGGAACUGUGGGUGGAGCGGUGAAAUGCGUUGAUAUCCACAGGAACUCCGGUGGCGAAGGCGGCGCGCUGGACCCCAUCUGACGCUGAGGCGCGAAAGCCAGGGGAGCGAACGGG